AUUGAACGCUGGCGGCAGGCUUAACACAUGCAAGUCGAGCGGAGAGAGGUAGCUUGCUACUGAUCUUAGCGGCGGACGGGUGAGUAAUGCUUAGGAAUCUGCCUAUUAGUGGGGGACAACAUUUCGAAAGGAAUGCUAAUACCGCAUACGUCCUACGGGAGAAAGCAGGGGAUCUUCGGACCUUGCGCUAAUAGAUGAGCCUAAGUCGGAUUAGCUAGUUGGUGGGGUAAAGGCCUACCAAGGCGACGAUCUGUAGCGGGUCUGAGAGGAUGGUCCGCCACACUGGGACUGAGACACGGCCCAGACUCCUACGGGAGGUAGCAGUGGGGAAUAUUGGACAAUGGGCGGAAGCCUGAUCCAGCCAUGCCGCGUGUGUGAAGAAGGCCUUAUGGUUGUAAAGCACUUUAAGCGAGGAGGAGGCUACUUUAGUUAACACCUAGAGAUAGUGGACGUUACUCGCAGAAUAAGCACCGGCUAACUCUGUGCCAGCAGCCGCCGUAA
RNAcentral lists this ribosomal RNA (501 nucleotides) under uncultured bacterium. Its description in RNAcentral is "partial 16S ribosomal RNA". It matches the Rfam family "Bacterial small subunit ribosomal RNA", at positions 30 to 523 of the family's 1533-position model. The record is from RNAcentral.